Molecule: long non-coding RNA, 581 nt
Organism: Drosophila obscura
Lineage: Eukaryota; Metazoa; Arthropoda; Insecta; Diptera; Drosophilidae
Exons: 3
Source: RefSeq, a predicted model, not a curated record
CAUAAAGAGAGAAGAAGAUUAAGCGCAAAAUCUUAUAAAUUGUCUUCGUUUGGAUUGGAAGUAGCCUGUGCAGUGUGCAAUUAUUGAGCGAUGGAAAAAAAUCUUAAGAGAACUUCAAAGGAAAACUGUGAGGCUGGACCUUUGAAAAGCAAACGUGAAUACUCAAUGAUUGCGAAUGAUCGCAAUUGACGUGCAACCGUUUAGUGUUGUCAAUGAUAGAGGAUUUCGUGAGUUGUUAGCAGAAAUGGACCCCCGCUACAAGUUACCAAGCAAAACCCAUCUCCGUAACGUAGCGAUUCCAAACGCAUAUGCAGAUUUGAAAACAAAACUUAAAUUUGCCUUGGAUUGCGUGGAAAAUGUGGCGAUCACAGCCGACGGAUGGACGUCCAUGGCAAAUGAGGGCUACUUAACCAUAACUUGCCAUUUUAUAAAUUCGGAAUUCCAGCUAAAUUCAGCCGUACUGUCCACAACGACUCUGAUAAACCAAACUAACCACACGGCUGCCAAUAUCGCAGAAUCGAUUCGAGUGGUUUUAGUAGAGUGGGGUCUAGUGGAGAAAGUUGUUUGCAUUGUGACAGACA